RNAcentral lists this ribosomal RNA (293 nucleotides) under uncultured bacterium. RNAcentral's name for it is "partial 16S ribosomal RNA". It matches the Rfam family "Bacterial small subunit ribosomal RNA", at positions 775 to 1067 of the family's 1533-position model. The record is from RNAcentral.
GGAUUAGAUACCCUGGUAGUCCACGCUGUAAACGAUGUCUACUUGGAGGUUGUUGUCAUGAAUGAUGGCUUUCGAAGCAAACGCGUUAAGUAGACCGCCUGGGGAGUACGGUCGCAAGAUUAAAACUCAAAUGAAUUGACGGGGGCCCGCACAAGCGGUGGAGCAUGUGGUUUAAUUCGAUGCAACGCGAAGAACCUUACCUACUCUUGACAUCCAAAGAAGCUUGCAGAGAUGCGAUUGUGCCUUAGGGAGCUUUGAGACAGGUGCUGCAUGGCUGUCGUCAGCUCGUGCCG